AUCCUCCAGUUUCCUUCUCCAUCAGAUCUACACACUGGUCUGAGUGGUGACAACAAGAGGAAGAAUAGCAUGGGAAUGGACUUCCAUACUUGUCUAGCACACGGGCUGGUGUUAAACAGUU
Molecule: small nucleolar RNA, 121 nt
Filed under: Echinops telfairi (small Madagascar hedgehog)
Lineage: Eukaryota; Metazoa; Chordata; Mammalia; Afrosoricida; Tenrecidae
Description: Small nucleolar RNA SNORA61 (ENSETEG00000026471.1)
Source: RNAcentral